Molecule: unclassified non-coding RNA, 500 nt
Filed under: uncultured Glomus
Lineage: Eukaryota; Fungi; Glomeromycota; Glomeromycetes; Glomerales; Glomeraceae
Description: SSU rRNA
Rfam family: Eukaryotic small subunit ribosomal RNA
Source: RNAcentral
CCAAUAGCGUAUAUUAAAGUUGUUGCAGUUAAAAAGCUCGUAGUUGAAUUUCGGGGUUAGUAGGUUGGUCAUGCCUCUGGUAUGUACUGGUCUCACUGAUUCCUCCUUCCUGAUGAGCCGUAAUGCCAUUAAUUUGGUGUUGCGGGGAAUUUGGACUGUUACUUUGAAAAAAUUAGAGUGUUUAAAGCAAGCUAACGCUUGAAUACAUUAGCAUGGAAUAAUGAAAUAGGACGUUCGAUCCUAUUUUGUUGGUUUCUAGGAUUGACGUAAUGAUUAAUAGGGAUAGUUGGGGGCAUUAGUAUUCAAUUGUCAGAGGUGAAAUUCUUGGAUUUAUUGAAGACUAACUACUGCGAAAGCAUUUGCCAAGGAUGUUUUCAUUAAGCAAGAACGAAAGUUAGGGGAUCGAAGACGAUCAGAUACCGUCGUAGUCUUAACCAUAAACUAUGCCGACUAGGGAUCGGAUGAUGUUAAUUUUUUAAUGACUCAUUCGGCGCCUUACG